CAUGCAAGUAGAACGCUGAAGAGAGGAGCUUGCUCUUCUUGGAUGAGUUGCGAACGGGUGAGUAACGCGUAGGUAACCUGCCUUGUAGCGGGGGAUAACUAUUGGAAACGAUAGCUAAUACCGCAUAACAAUGGAUGACACAUGUCAUUUAUUUGAAAGGGGCAAUUGCUCCACUACAAGAUGGACCUGCGUUGUAUUAGCUAGUAGGUGAGGUAAUGGCUCACCUAGGCGACGAUACAUAGCCGACCUGAGAGGGUGAUCGGCCACACUGGGACUGAGACACGGCCCAGACUCCUACGGGAGGCAGCAGUAGGGAAUCUUCGGCAAUGGGGGCAACCCUGACCGAGCAACGCCGCGUGAGUGAAGAAGGUUUUCGGAUCGUAAAGCUCUGUUGUAAGUCAAGAACGGGUGUGAGAGUGGAAAGUUCACACUGUGACGGUAGCUUACCAGAAAGGGACGGCUAACUACGUGCCAGCAGCCGCGGUAAUACGUAGGUCCCGAGCGUUGUCCGGAUUUAUUGGGCGUAAAGCGAGCGCAGGCGGUUUGAUAAGUCUGAAGUUAAAGGCUGUGGCUCAACCAUAGUUCGCUUUGGAAACUGUCAAACUUGAGUGCAGAAGGGGAGAGUGGAAUUCCAUGUGUAGCGGUGAAAUGCGUAGAUAUAUGGAGGAACACCGGUGGCGAAAGCGGCUCUCUGGUCUGUAACUGACGCUGAGGCUCGAAAGCGUGGGGAGCGAACAGGAUUAGAUACCCUGGUAGUCCACGCCGUAAACGAUGAGUGCUAGGUGUUGGAUCCUUUCCGGGAUUCAGUGCCGCAGCUAACGCAUUAAGCACUCCGCCUGGGGAGUACGACCGCAAGGUUGAAACUCAAAGGAAUUGACGGGGGCCCGCACAAGCGGUGGAGCAUGUGGUUUAAUUCGAAGCAACGCGAAGAACCUUACCAGGUCUUGACAUCCCGAUGCUAUUUCUAGAGAUAGAAAGUUACUUCGGUACAUCGGUGACAGGUGGUGCAUGGUUGUCGUCAGCUCGUGUCGUGAGAUGUUGGGUUAAGUCCCGCAACGAGCGCAACCCCUAUUGUUAGUUGCCAUCAUUCAGUUGGGCACUCUAGCGAGACUGCCGGUAAUAAACCGGAGGAAGGUGGGGAUGACGUCAAAUCAUCAUGCCCCUUAUGACCUGGGCUACACACGUGCUACAAUGGUUGGUACAACGAGUUGCGAGUCGGUGACGGCGAGCUAAUCUCUUAAAGCCAAUCUCAGUUCGGAUUGUAGGCUGCAACUCGCCUACAUGAAGUCGGAAUCGCUAGUAAUCGCGGAUCAGCACGCCGCGGUGAAUACGUUCCCGGGCCUUGUACACACCGCCCGUCACACCACGAGAGUUUGUAACACCCGAAGUCGGUGAGGUAACCUU
This 1404-nucleotide ribosomal RNA is filed under the name Streptococcus thermophilus. RNAcentral describes it as "bacterial SSU rRNA". It matches the Rfam family "Bacterial small subunit ribosomal RNA". The record is from RNAcentral. Lineage: Bacteria; Bacillati; Bacillota; Bacilli; Lactobacillales; Streptococcaceae.